Molecule: long non-coding RNA, 1258 nt
Organism: Hemicordylus capensis (graceful crag lizard)
Lineage: Eukaryota; Metazoa; Chordata; Lepidosauria; Squamata; Cordylidae
Exons: 3
Source: RefSeq, a predicted model, not a curated record
GAUCUCUUACCUUCCCGCCAGACGCCCUGCGCGGACCUCAUACAUUAAUAUAAUGUGGAGUAAUGACUGGCCUAGCUAACUCCCCGUGUGAUCGUGGAUCCUGCUUAUGUACACGCAUGACUGGGGUGCAGUGCGGGUGAGCAUUUGAGAGUUGACAUAAUUCUCCCAGGAUGUACUGAAGCUUUUGUUGAAAAUGUUCUGCUCCUGAACACAACAUAGAAGACAUUUUCCCUAUAGAGUCAAGAUCAAGCAGAUUUCAGCAGAAUUGACAAACUUGUCUGUGGGAAAUUCCAUGGACGAAGUCAAGAAACCAUCUGGAUCCAUCAGUCUUCUAAUACUUUCCCACCCUAUAGAAGUUAGGAGUGCCCAAGGACUUUAAAACUAACCAGAUAUUGAUCUGUCCACUACAAAGGCAUCCGAAAGAUACCUUCCAGUUUCAGAACACUGUUAUCCUGUCCAACAAAAACAAAAAAAACACAAAAAACCACACCAAGUUCACAUACGACCUACCACAUAUAUUGGCCCAGUUAUUCCGUUGGAUGGUUUCAUAGUUCUCAUGGCAACCAUUAAGUCCUGAGAUUUGGCAUGAAUGAAUGAAGUCCCCAAGUAACCAAAAUUUGGAGAUCCCAGACACCAGGUCUGAGACCACCUCUGCCAACUCAGUAAGAAAGACAGCAGAGUACACAACAGAAUCUCCAACCUGUCCCAACCAGUGUUCCUUCUAACAGGGAUUCCCAGAAAUUGUUGACUACAACUCCCAUAAUCCCCAGCCAAAAACCAUUGCAGCUGGUGAUGCUGGGAGUUGUAGUCAACAACAUCUGGAAAUCCCUGUUAGAGGGUACACUGGUCCCAACACUUGGCAUAUGCACAUGCUUGAAAUUCUUCAUCUGUUGGACAUGACACCUGAAGAGCAACAUGGAAUUCCAGUUGUUCAUAGACAUUCCCUUUGGGCCUUUGUUGCUCCUACGAAACCUGGUGGACAAAGCUUGGGCCGAGCUUAUUCUUCAGCAGUUAUAGAGAAAUAUAGCAACAGAGUAUAAUAUAUGUAAUCUUAGAAAAAGACAGAAUUAAUUCCCUAAGUUUAAAUAAAUGAGCAGGAAAUGGUUGUGUUUAGGGAUGUGCAUGAGCAGUUCGUGCAGCCACCGGCGAGGCGGGGAGCAGUUCCCUUAAAAAGCAGGUAAGGAGCUCCCGCUUUUCCAGCGGUGGCACCUGCUCUCCCAAAGGCCAUGUGUUUCUGAGGCGUUGUUCCUUGCAGCCU